CGCCUGCUUAGCCUGUCCACGUCAGUGCCCCGGACGAAGCCCGAAGUUUCUCCAGCUGUACGCCCUUUGGCCGUCCAGGUUUCCCCUUUCGUGCUGCUAUGGCCUGCUGCUCCGAAGCUCUUGUCUCGGGGGAAUAGCGCUGCUGCCUACAGCCACAACCAUCCUGUACUGUUCGCACUCUAAAUCAAGAAGUGGAAGCAGACUGGUAAAGGACAGAAUGAACCCAAGGCCAGACCCAUUCUCACAAAUCAGCCCAGAGGCCCGACACUCCGAAAACCCCUGAGUACCACGGACAGACGUCCCCAACACCGCCAGCGCCCACCCUGGCUCACCGUGCGGAUCUGCCUCCGCAAAAG
Long non-coding RNA from Symphalangus syndactylus (siamang), 356 nucleotides. RefSeq lists it as uncharacterized. The record is from RefSeq and is a predicted model, not a curated record. NCBI's taxonomy places the organism in Eukaryota, Metazoa, Chordata, Mammalia, Primates, Hylobatidae.